GAUGAACGCUGGCGGCGUGCCUAAUAUAUGCAAGUCGAGCGAAUGGAUUAAGAGCUUGCUCUUAUGAAGUUAGCGGCGGACGGGUGAGUAACACGUGGGUAACCUGCCCAUAAGACUGGGAUAACUCCGGGAAACCGGGGCUAAUACCGGAUAACAUUUUGAACCGCAUGGUUCGAAAUUGAAAGGCGGCUUCGGCUGUCACUUAUGGAUGGACCCGCGUCGCAUUAGCUAGUUGGUGAGGUAACGGCUCACCAAGGCAACGAUGCGUAGCCGACCUGAGAGGGUGAUCGGCCACACUGGGACUGAGACACGGCCCAGACUCCUACGGGAGGCAGCAGUAGGGAAUCUUCCGCAAUGGACGAAAGUCUGACGGACCAACGCCGCGUGAGUGAUGAAGGCUUUCGGGUCGUAAAACUCUGUUGUUAGGGAAGAACAAGUGCUAGUUGAAUAAGCUGGCACCUUGGCGGUACCUAACCAGAAAGCCACGGCUAACUACGUGCCAGCAGCCGCCGUAA
This 515-nucleotide ribosomal RNA is filed under the name uncultured bacterium. RNAcentral's name for it is "partial 16S ribosomal RNA". It matches the Rfam family "Bacterial small subunit ribosomal RNA", at positions 28 to 523 of the family's 1533-position model. The record is from RNAcentral.